AAAUUGAAGAGUUUGAUCAUGGCUCAGAUUGAACGCUGGCGGCAGGCCUAACACAUGCAAGUCGAGCGGUAGCACAGAGAGCUUGCUCUCGGGUGACGAGCGGCGGACGGGUGAGUAAUGUCUGGGAAACUGCCUGAUGGAGGGGGAUAACUACUGGAAACGGUAGCUAAUACCGCAUAAUGUCGCAAGACCAAAGUGGGGGACCUUCGGGCCUCAUGCCAUCAGAUGUGCCCAGAUGGGAUUAGCUAGUAGGUGGGGUAACGGCUCACCUAGGCGACGAUCCCUAGCUGGUCUGAGAGGAUGACCAGCCACACUGGAACUGAGACACGGUCCAGACUCCUACGGGAGGCAGCAGUGGGGAAUAUUGCACAAUGGGCGCAAGCCUGAUGCAGCCAUGCCGCGUGUGUGAAGAAGGCCUUCGGGUUGUAAAGCACUUUCAGCGGGGAGGAAGGCGGUGAGGUUAAUAACCUCAUCGAUUGACGUUACCCGCAGAAGAAGCACCGGCUAACUCCGUGCCAGCAGCCGCGGUAAUACGGAGGGUGCAAGCGUUAAUCGGAAUUACUGGGCGUAAAGCGCACGCAGGCGGUCUGUCAAGUCGGAUGUGAAAUCCCCGGGCUCAACCUGGGAACUGCAUUCGAAACUGGCAGGCUAGAGUCUUGUAGAGGGGGGUAGAAUUCCAGGUGUAGCGGUGAAAUGCGUAGAGAUCUGGAGGAAUACCGGUGGCGAAGGCGGCCCCCUGGACAAAGACUGACGCUCAGGUGCGAAAGCGUGGGGAGCAAACAGGAUUAGAUACCCUGGUAGUCCACGCCGUAAACGAUGUCGAUUUGGAGGUUGUGCCCUUGAGGCGUGGCUUCCGGAGCUAACGCGUUAAAUCGACCGCCUGGGGAGUACGGCCGCAAGGUUAAAACUCAAAUGAAUUGACGGGGGCCCGCACAAGCGGUGGAGCAUGUGGUUUAAUUCGAUGCAACGCGAAGAACCUUACCUGGUCUUGACAUCCACAGAACUUUCCAGAGAUGGAUUGGUGCCUUCGGGAACUGUGAGACAGGUGCUGCAUGGCUGUCGUCAGCUCGUGUUGUGAAAUGUUGGGUUAAGUCCCGCAACGAGCGCAACCCUUAUCCUUUGUUGCCAGCGGUUAGGCCGGGAACUCAAAGGAGACUGCCAGUGAUAAACUGGAGGAAGGUGGGGAUGACGUCAAGUCAUCAUGGCCCUUACGACCAGGGCUACACACGUGCUACAAUGGCAUAUACAAAGAGAAGCGACCUCGCGAGAGCAAGCGGACCUCAUAAAGUAUGUCGUAGUCCGGAUUGGAGUCUGCAACUCGACUCCAUGAAGUCGGAAUCGCUAGUAAUCGUAGAUCAGAAUGCUACGGUGAAUACGUUCCCGGGCCUUGUACACACCGCCCGUCACACCAUGGGAGUGGGUUGCAAAAGAAGUAGGUAGCUUAACCUUCGGGAGGGCGCUUACCACUUUGUGAUUCAUGACUGGGGUGAAGUCGUAACAAGGUAACCGUAGGGGAACCUGCGGUUGGAUCACCUCCUUACCUUAAAGAA
This 1550-nucleotide ribosomal RNA is filed under the name Klebsiella pneumoniae. RNAcentral describes it as "bacterial SSU rRNA". It matches the Rfam family "Bacterial small subunit ribosomal RNA". The record is from RNAcentral. RNAcentral also lists the same sequence under 1 other name. Lineage: Bacteria; Pseudomonadati; Pseudomonadota; Gammaproteobacteria; Enterobacterales; Enterobacteriaceae.